This 291-nucleotide ribosomal RNA is filed under the name uncultured bacterium. RNAcentral describes it as "partial 16S ribosomal RNA". It matches the Rfam family "Bacterial small subunit ribosomal RNA", at positions 505 to 796 of the family's 1533-position model. The record is from RNAcentral.
GUGUCAGCAGCCGCGGUAAUACGGAGGGGGCUAGCGUUGUUCGGAAUUACUGGGCGUAAAGGGCGUGUAGGCGGUUUAUCAAGUCAGGCGUGAAGCCCUGGGCUUAACCUAGGAGGUGCGUUUGAUACUGAUAAACUUGAGAUCGGGAGAGGAAAGUAGAAUUCCCAGUGUAGAGGUGAAAUUCGUAGAUAUUGGGAGGAAUACCAGAGGCGAAGGCGGCUUUCUGGACCGAAUCUGACGCUGAGGCGCGAAAGCGUGGGGAGCAAACAGGAUUAGAUACCCGGGUAGUCC